Molecule: ribosomal RNA, 253 nt
Filed under: uncultured bacterium
Lineage: Bacteria
Description: partial 16S ribosomal RNA
Rfam family: Bacterial small subunit ribosomal RNA
Source: RNAcentral
UACAGGGGGUGCAAACGUUGCUCGGAAUCAUUGGGCGUAAAGCGCACGUAGGCGGUCUGUUAUGUCGGAUGUGAAAGCCCUCGGCUCAACUGAGGAAGUGCAUCCGAAACUGGCAGGCUAGAGUACUAAAGAGGGUCGCGGAAUUCCCGGUGUAGAGGUGAAAUUCGUAGAUAUCGGGAGGAACACCGGUGGCGAAGGCGGCGACCUGGGUAGAUACUGACGCUGAGGUGCAAAAGCGUGGGGAGCAAACAGG